This is a long non-coding RNA of Chenopodium quinoa (quinoa), 1415 nucleotides long. RefSeq lists it as uncharacterized. NCBI's taxonomy places the organism in Eukaryota, Viridiplantae, Streptophyta, Magnoliopsida, Caryophyllales, Amaranthaceae. The record is from RefSeq and is a predicted model, not a curated record. The transcript has 4 exons.
CCAUCAUAUCAGCUUCUCUCUUAAAACCACCAAAUUUUCUCUAAAAUCCAUUGUGACUGCUCCGAAUCAAAGCAAAUCACAUCGAUUCCUUUUGAUUUUUGCUCAAAUUCAACGAAUUUUAUUCAUAAACUUAUUUAAAAUAAGUUAAAUUGGGCAAUUUAAUUAGAAUUUUUGCAAAUACGAACCCUAUUUUGGCAGAAGAACAAAUUGAAGAAAAUUUUGAAUGGAGGUUGGCGAAGAACAAUUAAUUCGUACAGAAAUUUGUUCUAAAAUGCAACGUUCGAAUUGUUGCAACUUGCAGGGUUAGAAGGAAUCGGAUAAAAGAAGUCUCUUUAAUUAAUGGGCCUGCUACCAAUUCGGUGCUGUUUGGUGUGCUGCAAUGUGUGGCAUGGCUGUGAGGACAGUAGCAGCAGCUUAGUGUUGGCUAGGAAUGAUGGCUGCAAAAUUCUAAUUUCAGCGAUAUUAGCUAUUUGCAACAGUGUGGCGAGAAAGAUAAAUCAUUUACUUAUGAGGUAUAGCCUAAACUGCAUUAGCUAUGAAUACUCAGUGCAUUAUAUUACAUAGAAAUAUCAUGUUUCCUUUUUAGGUUUUGUCUAUUAUUUCGCUUUGUAUAUGUAGUAUCAGGAACAGAUGUACAGACCAUACUACUGUUUAGUUUUAUUUAUUUGCAAUAUGUGUAGUAUGUAAAGAAAAUCAUCGAGGUUUAAGUCCUCAUUUAUACUGGUUUGUUUGAGUCCUCUUUUUGCUAAAAUUUACUUGAGAACUGCUAUGGUCUGUAACUCCUCAAAAUUUUACAGGACAAUUAGGCAACGACAGCAAUUUUGUGAUAAUCACUCUAACACUGAAGUAAAAUCAUAGCAUGUGUUGAAUAAUAAUUUCAAUUUUUGUGAUUUGUUAGGUGAUUAUAGUGGAUGAUGGAAGCGUUGAUGGGAUCAGAAGAGUAGCUUUUGACUUUGUUAAAAAGUACAAGGUGAAAAAUGUUAGGGUUCUUCUUCUUGGAAAACACUAUGGGAAGGGGGAAGCUAUUAGAAAAGUGAGUAACAAUUCUUUGUUCAUUUUAUCAAAUGAGCAAACAAUUCUUUGUUGAUUUAUCAAAUGAGCUGAUUAAAAAUUUAUAACAUAAAAAAUGAUUUAAAACAUAUGAUAAACCUAUUAGCUCAAAUGGUAAAGCACUAUACAAAUGCAUAGGGGAUGUAGGUUCAAUUCCUACAUAGGUUAUCUCUAUAAACAAAAUUAAUUAAAAAAAAAAAAUCAAAUUCGUACUAAACUAUAUGAGCGAAAAAAUGAUUUGAAAUGAUUUAUAACUAUAUAAACUUUGGUGCAAUUAAACUCUCAUACAAACUUGUGUCUCCACAUCACAUAAAUGAACUUACGUGGGAUUCGAACCCACAUCUUUUGUGCAUUUUCACAAUGCU